RNAcentral lists this unclassified non-coding RNA (446 nucleotides) under Hevea brasiliensis (rubber tree). The record is from RNAcentral. Lineage: Eukaryota; Viridiplantae; Streptophyta; Magnoliopsida; Malpighiales; Euphorbiaceae.
GACUUGAACGGUCCAAAUCGCUCGAUAUGGAUACAAGUAAGACGAGUAGUUGCAGCAUGAGCUUGACUUGCUGGGACCCGAUCCUUAUAUAUAUGAAUAAGUCGGGGUGAGUACAGCUUUAAAUUAAUCCCGCAGACUCCCGAACUUGGAUUAUUAAGUAAAAGUCCAGCAAGUAUUGGAUUAAGAAAGCUGUAUAGAGGAUCAUUUAUCAUAUAUGUAUUGAUGUGAUACACUGAGUGUGUGAGUAAUUCUAAAUUAAUUUCUCGUGUGAAUAUUUGAUCAAUUAUUGUUAUAUGUGAUAAAUGCGCAUUUAUCUAAACUCUCUGAAUCGAACUCUCAUUCCUAUUUAAAUAUUUUUUUCAGGUUGCAGGAGGAGCGAGUUUAUUUCUUCGAGUCUACCCUACAUUUUCCGUCGCAGAUUGUGCUUCUUGGUUUAAUUGUUUAUU